Molecule: ribosomal RNA, 433 nt
Filed under: uncultured bacterium
Lineage: Bacteria
Description: partial 16S ribosomal RNA
Rfam family: Bacterial small subunit ribosomal RNA
Source: RNAcentral
AACGAACGCUGGCGGCAUGCCUAACACAUGCAAGUCGAACGAGACCUUCGGGUCUAGUGGCGCACGGGUGCGUAACGCGUGGGAACCUGCCCUUAGGUUCGGAAUAACUCCCCGAAAGGGGUGCUAAUACCGGAUAAUGUCUUCGGACCAAAGAUUUAUCGCCUUUGGAUGGGCCCGCGUUGGAUUAGCUAGUUGGUAGGGUAAAAGCCUACCAAGGCGAGGAUCCAUAGCUGGUCUGAGAGGAUGAUCAGCCACACUGGGACUGAGACGCGGCCCAGACUCCUACGGGAGGCAGCAGUGGGGAAUAGUGGACCAUGGGCGAAAGCCUGAUCCAGCAAUGCCGCGUGAGUGAUGAAGGCCUUAGGGUUGUAAAGCUCUUUUACCCGGGACGAUAAUGACAGUACCGGGAGAAUAAGCUCCGGCUAACUCCGUG